RNAcentral lists this ribosomal RNA (435 nucleotides) under uncultured bacterium. RNAcentral's name for it is "bacterial SSU rRNA". It matches the Rfam family "Bacterial small subunit ribosomal RNA", at positions 29 to 507 of the family's 1533-position model. The record is from RNAcentral.
AACGAACGCUGGCGGCAUGCCUAACACAUGCAAGUCGAACGAACCCUUCGGGGUGAGUGGCGCACGGGUGCGUAACGCGUGGGAACCUGCCCUUAGGUUCGGAAUAACGUUUCGAAAGGAACGCUAAUACCGGAUAAUGUCUUCGGACCAAAGAUUUAUCGCCUUUGGAUGGGCCCGCGUUUGGAUUAGCUAGUUGGUGGGGUAAAGGCUCACCAAGGCGACGAUCCAUAGCUGGUCUUAGAGGAUGAUCAGCCACACUGGGACUGAGACACGGCCCAGACUCCUACGGGAGGCAGCAGUGGGGAAUAUUGGACAAUGGGCGAAAGCCUGAUCCAGCAAUGCCGCGUGAGUGAUGAAGGCCUUAGGGUUGUAAAGCUCUUUUACCUAGGGAUGAUAAUGACAGUACCUGGAGAAUAAGCUCCGGCUAACUCCGUG